GCGGAUGUGGCGGAACUGGUAGACGCGCUGGAUUUAGGAUCCAGUGGAGCAAUCCGUGGAGGUUCGAGUCCUCUCAUCCGCACCA
RNAcentral lists this transfer RNA (85 nucleotides) under Maricaulis sp. RNAcentral's name for it is "tRNA-Leu". It matches the Rfam family "tRNA". From Rfam's summary of the family: Transfer RNA (tRNA) molecules are approximately 80 nucleotides in length. Their secondary structure includes four short double-helical elements and three loops (D, anti-codon, and T loops). RNAcentral also lists the same sequence under 1 other name. Lineage: Bacteria; Pseudomonadati; Pseudomonadota; Alphaproteobacteria; Maricaulales; Maricaulaceae. The record is from RNAcentral.